CCUACGGGGGGCAGCAGUCGAGAAUCAUUCACAAUGGGGGAAACCCUGAUGGUGCGACGCCGCGUGGGUGAAUGAAGGUCUUCGGAUUGUAAACCCCUGUCAUGUGGGAGAAAAUUAAAAAGAUAGUACCACAAGAGGAAGCGACGGCUAACUCUGUGCCAGCAGCCGCGGUAAUACAGAGGUCUCAAGCGUUGUUCGGAAUCACUGGGCGUAAGGCGUGCGUAGGCUGUUUCGUAAGUCGUGUGUGAAAGGCGCGGGCUCAACCCGCGGACGGCACAUGAUACUGCGAGACUAGAGUAAUGGAGGGGGAACCGGAAUUCUCGGUGUAGCAGUGAAAUGCGUAGAUAUCGAGAGGAACACUCGUGGCGAAGGCGGGUUCCUGGACAUUAACUGACGCUGAGGCACGAAGGCCAGGGGAGCGAAAGGGAUUAGAUACCCUAGUAGUC
This 446-nucleotide ribosomal RNA is filed under the name uncultured bacterium. RNAcentral's name for it is "partial 16S ribosomal RNA". It matches the Rfam family "Bacterial small subunit ribosomal RNA", at positions 338 to 795 of the family's 1533-position model. The record is from RNAcentral.